Molecule: long non-coding RNA, 2488 nt
Organism: Balaenoptera musculus (blue whale)
Lineage: Eukaryota; Metazoa; Chordata; Mammalia; Artiodactyla; Balaenopteridae
Exons: 3
Source: RefSeq, a predicted model, not a curated record
GGUGAACACAGAGCAGUUCUGCUCAGGGCUUUGGAAGAAGGCCAGGGUACCCGCACCGAGGCAUAGGAGGGCGGCAGGUGGGUUUGUAGGCUGUGCUAAUGUAUUUCAAGUAUGGCUGUAGCCAGGCCUGCCUCAUUGCCUACUUUCUCCUAUUUGACAACCCUCAGCUCCCUUCCCACGAGGCUCCUGCCUCAGGACCUCUGCAUUCGCUGUUGUCUCUGCCCGGCACCCCUUUUCCCCAGAGUCACUCACUCCCUUCAGGUCUUUACUCAAAAGUCACCUUCUUGGUGAGGCCUUCCCUAUUGUUUUAUAUCCAAUUUCAGCACCCUGCCCAACAUCUCAUGUCCUCUCUCCUCUUUCAUCUACUUGUUUUCCAGCUUGUCACUAUAUAAAGUACAUUCUGAUUUAUGUGUUGUGACAGCAGCCUCUAAGAUGGCCCCCAACCAUGUGCCUCCUGCGUUUGCACCUUUGUGUAGCCCUCCCCUGAGUGCGGGCUGGAUUGAGUAACUAGCUUCUAGCCAAUAGAAUGUGGCAGAGAGGACGGGCUGUCACUUCUUUCUUUCUCUGGAAUUGCUCACCAUGACAUGAGGAGUCCUGUGGCAAAGGACCAAGGCCUGGCCAACAACCAGUGAGAGAGCUGAGACACAGACCCCUUCCCAGCUGAGCCUUCUGAUGAGAACACAGCUCCAGCCAGUGGCUCGACUGCAGCCUCACGAGAGAUUUUGUGCCAGAGGGUCCAGAGCACCCAGGACCAGAUUCUUGACCCUCAGAAACUGGGAGACAAUACAUGCUGUUGUUUUAAGCCACUGAGUUUUGGGGUAAUCUGGUCUUCAGCAGUAGGGAGGACCUUUCCUGGGUGUCCUGUCGCACGUGGAAGGGAGAGUGCACAUAUUGGAAACCUACUGAGGUCACAUUCACGUAACAAGGAGGGGUAGGAGAGAGAUCUCUCAGGAAUUUCCCAUCUAAAGUUUGUGUCUUAAAACAGUGAAAACAGCAAGAGCACCCUCAACGCAGAAAUAAUUAAACAAGCACUUUGGGAAGACACAGUUGAUGAAAGAAAUUUUCACAUAUUAAGGGAUAAAUGCUGCCUGCUGCCCCUUCCCCAGCAACACCCAUGCCAGCAUUCCUUCGAAGAUGAGAUUCCCUUCCCAGACGCCAAGGUCAUGCUGACUUUCUGUGUACCUGCUAAUCUGUUUUGAAAACUUGCAGAAAUGUACCUUUGUCAUGUUUGAUGUUUGUUGUUCUGACAAGUUAUUAAACUGUGGUUCAGGCAUCCAAAUUGGAGCCGGGUGGCCAUUACGGAUGUGGUUUCAGACAGUUCCUGCAUCACUGGGAACUUGAAUUUUCUAAACUGUAUCAGACUCAAGGUCAUGACCAACUGUUCUCAAAAUAGUAUCUGCUAGUCGCUGCCACCAGCAACCUUAUAAUCUCAAGAUCUCUCCUGGUAACUAUGCAUUUUGGAGCCCAACCAAUUCUUGCUUUACAAGCACCUUCCUUAUUGCCAGUUCCAAUCCUAAUUCUUGACAAUUUAUGUAACUUUGCAGUUUUUGCUUGUAUAAGCCUCCCCCAUUUUGUAGCCUGGGGAACACAAUUCAAGUGCUUCUUGAAUCUGGGUCUCCUGCUCUGCAGUCCUCAGUUUAGCCCAAACAAAACUUGUCUCUUCCUCUCGUCAAUGUAAAUAAUCAGUAACCAACCUCAGCUGAUUAAGAGGGAGGGUUGGAAAGAAAGAAAAGACACAGUUUAAGAAAAAAAAAAAAAAAAAAAGAGGGAGGUUUGGGAAGAGCUCCCGUGGUUCCACGGAGCCCCAUCUCUGGGGGUCAGGAGGGCGUUGGAAAGGCUGGUCCGAGGGCUGAAGGCACCCGAAGCACCCAGGCUUGGGACAAUCUUUUUUCCAGUGACCCGGCUCUUUGCAGUCAUAGUGGUGGGGUCAGAGGAAGGCCGAUCGGGGGGCCUUUGUUGGCCACCUAAGGACUUUGGCCUUUACUCUCAGUGAGAUGGGACCCACUGGAGCAGUUGUGAGCAGAGGAGGGUGCCAGCUGACAGAUCUUACACACGCAGCCCUGGGCUUCCGGGUGGAGAACUGGCUAAAGUCUGCCCCCGUGUGGCCGGAGCAGGGCAUGCAGGACUGGGCUGAUCCGCAGGUGCCAGGGGCAUGACCCUUCCUGGGUCCAGAGAGGCCCUGGGGGGCUGCCCCCCAAUGGGCCGUGAAGGGCAAACUGCAUCUCCUCACUCCAGAUCCUUCCCAGGGUACAUGGGAGGGACGAGUUAGUGGGGAAGGAAGGGGCCGAGAGCCUGCUGGAGAGUCUUCCCCCCAUCCCGCCCCGCCUUAAAUCCCUGCUCUUGGGCAAUUUCCACCACAUCUUCUCUUGUUCCGCGUGGAAGCUGAAUGGCAACCGAUAGAUCAGUUGAUCAAUAGAUCAACUGGGAAUUCCCUGGCGGUCCAGUGGUUAGGACUCGGCACUUGCACUGCCGGGGGCCCCGGGUUUGA